This 271-nucleotide non-coding RNA is filed under the name Paenibacillus mucilaginosus. RNAcentral describes it as "T-box sequence". It matches the Rfam family "T-box leader". Rfam says of the family: Uncharged tRNA acts as the effector for transcription antitermination of genes in the T-box leader family. Lineage: Bacteria; Bacillati; Bacillota; Bacilli; Caryophanales; Paenibacillaceae. The record is from RNAcentral.
CUAAUGACUUGGAAAGGGAAUAGUAGGCAGUGAACCCUUCAGAGAGCGGAGCCGGCAUCAGGCUGGAAGGUUCCGCAGGACGUAUCUGCCGAAGUCGCCCCGGAGUUGCCGAAUUGAACGUUUGCCUAGAUUCGGCCGGCUGCAGCCGUUAUCCUGCCCUAAGUGCCGUGCCUUCGUCACGGGCCCCGUAUGCUUUAUCAGCUCGGCAGGUCCUGGGAAAGCUGCGGAAUAAAGGUGGUACCACGGAAAGCGCAAGCCUUUCGUCCUUUGC